CAGACUUUUUUGGUUGACAGACU
This 23-nucleotide small nuclear RNA is filed under the name Arabidopsis thaliana (thale cress). RNAcentral's name for it is "snRNA_17634". The record is from RNAcentral. Lineage: Eukaryota; Viridiplantae; Streptophyta; Magnoliopsida; Brassicales; Brassicaceae.